RNAcentral lists this transfer RNA (72 nucleotides) under Camelus bactrianus (Bactrian camel). It matches the Rfam family "tRNA". Rfam says of the family: Transfer RNA (tRNA) molecules are approximately 80 nucleotides in length. Their secondary structure includes four short double-helical elements and three loops (D, anti-codon, and T loops). Further hydrogen bonds mediate the characteristic L-shaped molecular structure. tRNAs have two regions of fundamental functional importance: the anti-codon, which is responsible for specific mRNA codon recognition, and the 3' end, to which the tRNAs corresponding amino acid is attached (by aminoacyl-tRNA synthetases). tRNAs cope with the degeneracy of the genetic code in two manners: having more than one tRNA (with a specific anti-codon) for a particular amino acid; and 'wobble' base-pairing, i.e. permitting non-standard base-pairing at the 3rd anti-codon position. Lineage: Eukaryota; Metazoa; Chordata; Mammalia; Artiodactyla; Camelidae. The record is from Rfam by way of RNAcentral. RNAcentral also lists the same sequence under 3 other names.
AAGGGUAUAGCUCAGUGGUAGAGUGCGUGCUUAGCAUGCACAAGGUCCUGGGUUCAGUCCCCAGAACCUCCA